Molecule: ribosomal RNA, 796 nt
Filed under: Sphaerodactylus continentalis
Lineage: Eukaryota; Metazoa; Chordata; Lepidosauria; Squamata; Sphaerodactylidae
Description: partial 12S ribosomal RNA
Rfam family: Bacterial small subunit ribosomal RNA
Source: RNAcentral
UUACACAUGCAAGACUCCACACACCAGUGCGCACAACCACCAACUACCACAUAGAAAAGGAACCGGCAUCAGGCUCACCACACCAGCCCACAACACCAAGCAUCGCCACACCUCCACAGGACACAGCAGUGAUAAACAUUAAACCAUGGUCCAACCCCGAUUUAGUCUAUGGCCCACCACUAUCGGUAAAUUUCGUGCCAGCCACCGCGGUUACACGAGAGAUCUAAAAUAACUGAGCCCGGCGUAAAGCGUGACCAAAAACAUAGCCCUCACCCUGAAGCAUGAGGCACAACAAACGUCGUAAAACACCAAUGCCAGUACAAACCACACCUGCCUCACCGGCCCCGGCCCUUUCCACUCACGAAAGCUAGGACACAAACUAGGAUUAGAUACCCUACUAUGCCUAACAAUAAACUGAUUAUCGCACACAAUUAAUCCGCCAGAGAACUACAGGCGAAAGCCAGAAACUCCAAGGACUUGACGGUGUCUCAUACACCCUAGAGGAGCCUGUCCUAUAAUCGAUACCCCACGCUUUACCCCACCCACUCUUGCACCCCAGCCUAUAUACCGCCGUCGGCAGUUCACCCCAUGAGGGCAGUGAACAAAAUACUCCCACCACUAGCACGUCAGGUCAAGGUGUAGUAUAUGAGUGGGCAGAGAUGGGCUACAUUCUCAACACGAGCAAACCACCAGCAACAUGAAACACAGCCCAAAGGAGGAUUUAGCAGUAAGGCGUGCAAGAAUGCCCCCCUGAAAACAGUCCUGAGACACGCACACACCGCCCGUCACCCUCAUC